CCAAUAGCGUAUAUUAAAGUUGCUGCAGUUAAAAAGCUCGUAGUUGAAUUUCGGGACCAUCAUGUCGGUCGUGCCUCGGUACGUACUGGCAUUGUUGGUUUCUACCUUCUGACGAACCAUGAUGUCAUUUAUUUGGUGUCGUGGGGAAUCAGGACUGUUACUUUGAAAAAAUUAGAGUGUUUAAAGCAGGCUCACGCUUGAAUACAUUAGCAUGGAAUAAUGAAAUAGGACGUUUGAUUCUAUUUUGUUGGUUUCUAGGAUCGACGUAAUGAUUAAUAGGGAUAGUUGGGGGCAUUAGUAUUCAAUUGUCAGAGGUGAAAUUCUUGGAUUUAUUGAAGACUAACUACUGCGAAAGCAUUUGCCAAGGAUGUUUUCAUUAAUCAAGAACGAAAGUUAGGGGAUCGAAGACGAUCAGAUACCGUCGUAGUCUUAACCAUAAACUAUGCCGACUAGGGAUCGGAUGAUGUUAAUUUUUUUAAUGACUCAUUCGGCGCCUUACG
RNAcentral lists this ribosomal RNA (500 nucleotides) under uncultured Glomeromycotina. Its description in RNAcentral is "partial small subunit ribosomal RNA". It matches the Rfam family "Eukaryotic small subunit ribosomal RNA", at positions 591 to 1092 of the family's 1831-position model. The record is from RNAcentral. Lineage: Eukaryota; Fungi; Glomeromycota.